AUUGAACGCUGGCGGCAGGCCUAACACAUGCAAGUCGAACGGUAGCACAGAGAGCUUGCUCUCGUGUGACGAGUGGCGGACGGGUGAGUAAUGUCUGGGAAACUGCCCGAUGGAGGGGGAUAACUACUGGAAACGGUAGCUAAUACCGCAUAAUUUCGCUAGACCAAAGAGGUGGAUCUUCGAGCCUCUUUCUAUCGGCUGUUCCCAGGUGGGAUUAGCUAGUUGGUGAGGUAAUGGCUCACCAAGGCGACGAUCCCUAGCUGGUCUGAGAGGAUGGUCAGCCACACUGGAACUGAGACACGGUCCAGACUCCUACGGGAGGCAGCAGUAGGGAAUAUUGCACAAUGGGCGAAAGCCUGAUGCAGCCAUGCCGCGUGAAUGAAGAAGGCCUUCGGGUUGUAAAGUACUUUUAGCGGGGAGGAAGGAGAUACGGUUAAAAAACGUAUUGAUUGACGUUACCCGAAGAAGAAGCACCGGCUAACUCCGUG
This 488-nucleotide ribosomal RNA is filed under the name uncultured bacterium. RNAcentral describes it as "partial 16S ribosomal RNA". It matches the Rfam family "Bacterial small subunit ribosomal RNA", at positions 30 to 507 of the family's 1533-position model. The record is from RNAcentral.